UACGUAGGGUGCGAGCGUUGUCCGGAAUUAUUGGGCGUAAAGGGCUCGUAGGCGGCCUGUCGCGUCUGUCGUGAAAGCUCGGGGCUUAACUCCGGGUCUGCGGUGGAUACGGGCAGGCUAGAGUCCGGCAGGGGAGACUGGAAUUCCUGGUGUAGCGGUGAAAUGCGCAGAUAUCAGGAGGAACACCGGUGGCGAAGGCGUGUCUCUGGGCCGGCACUGACGCUGAGGAGCGAAAGCGUGGGGAGCAAACAGG
This 253-nucleotide unclassified non-coding RNA is filed under the name uncultured Propionibacteriaceae bacterium. RNAcentral describes it as "contains 16S-23S intergenic spacer region". It matches the Rfam family "Bacterial small subunit ribosomal RNA", at positions 524 to 776 of the family's 1533-position model. Lineage: Bacteria; Bacillati; Actinomycetota; Actinomycetes; Propionibacteriales; Propionibacteriaceae. The record is from RNAcentral.